CUGUAGUUUCCUGUAUUGAACCCGCGGCCCUUUCAAAGUGAUAAAGCGUUCGACAGCGCGAGGAAGACGCGCGGAUCCGGGCGCGGCGGAUCUGCCGGCCGGUGCGGCGGCUUGCUCCGGUGGCGGCGGCGAUGUCUUGCUCAUCCAGUUAAAGAGAGAGACAGGGUGUGAGGGGGAGAGGAAAGAGAGGAAGGCAUAGAAGGAGAAGUGUCGCAAGAUGAGGGAGGGAUCUCGCGGCAGGUGCGGGGGCUUGCUCGCAGCGGCGUCCGUCUCGUCCAGAGAAAGAGAGAGACAGGGCAUGAGGGAGAGAGGAAAAAGAGGAAGAAAGGAGAAGGAGAAUGGGCGCAAGGUGACGGAGACGGUCGCUGGCGGUGGCGCCUCCGGUGACCGGCCGGCGGCAGGGCGACCUGCACUUGGAGGAGGAGAACUGCGCAAGAUGGAUUCCAGCACCCUCCUACUCAUAUAAUGUACAGGAGCUUCAAGACAAAGGGCAUCAGGCUUCACGGCAACACAUUUAUCUAUAACUUUCUCCCCAAAUCUGAAAGUAUUUGGCCCCUAAAUUCUAAUUCUCAUUAGAAAGUCAGAGUAUUUGUGGAAUAUGGUCUAUGAAUAUUGACAAAUUUGAUUGCAGCAGGGGCGACAAAGUUAGUGCAGUCCUCACCGUGCACAUAUAUUUCAGGGUAAAAUCAAACUUCAGUUAGAAGGACAUGAUCAGGCAGGAGAUUCAUGCAGCAUUGGAUGUGAGAGGCCCUAAAUGCAUUUAGCAUGUGAAAAGAUGUGUUUAGUAUUGUUCCAAGUUGUUACCUUUCGAAAAGAGAACGCAACAGGGAUAAUUUUUUCUUCGAAGCACGAGUUAACCACAAGGAAUCUCCAUGCUUUUGCACCGGGUGUGAAAUCAACUUUGAAAAAUUGACAUGGCUAUUGUUUUUGCUUUUCCUGCUCAAGACAACAAAGGGAUUGUUCAGGCUGAUUUGUGUUUGUGCAGACAGACCUCAAGGAACCUCUGCCGAAGAUUUACGUGGUGAAGGACUCGAACUGUAUCUCACGUCCACUCGGCCACACCUGGGUUGGCUGCCAACAGCCCUCUGAUUGAACAACUGCUCCGUCUAUCCGAGUCUCUGUCGGUCGGCUGUUCUUCUCGGACAUCACCAUACAGCUCCUCAGCAGCAAACUCAUGUGCUUCUCCACCAGAAUCAAUUCCCGAGCUGUUGAUAUCCCCUAUUCCUCUAAGGAUAUGCCCAUGGUAAUUUUUUCCACAAGACGAGUGUUGCAGUAUUUGUAUGAACUGGAGUACUGUACUGUUGCAGUAGUGUACAACUGUACAUACAUGGUUUGAAAAUCCUUUCUUUUUCAGUUAUAUAUUAGAAUGGAAUUUGUACGGCUUGGACUGCAUUUUCACAAUCAAUAUGGUGUGUUCAAGUAGUGUAAAUUGUUUAACUUGCUUUUUGGCCAGUAUCCCGAUAUAUGUGGAUGUAUCGUUGCUUUUUACAAUCAAUUUGUAAUGUUGCUUAAUGUACCGUUUGGUCUGCUUUUUUGGUCUGUAUCCCUGAA
Molecule: long non-coding RNA, 1551 nt
Organism: Triticum aestivum (bread wheat)
Lineage: Eukaryota; Viridiplantae; Streptophyta; Magnoliopsida; Poales; Poaceae
Exons: 2
Source: RefSeq, a predicted model, not a curated record